AGCAGAGAUGAACAGCAAGCUGCUCACCAUGCUGACAGCACUUCCCUGUGUGUUUUACUUCAUCAUGAAAUCCAAAUUUGGUGCUGAAGUGCCCAUCUAAGCUCACUCACUUGCCUCUUUAAGACAAGAAGAUAUCCAUGGCUGGAAUGACUUGGGAAUUUGAUAAAAUCAAUUAAGAAUGUCUAUAGAUGGAAAAAACAAAACUCCAUAGUGAUUAGAGGCAAAGGAUGGUCAGCAAAUCAUUGUUUCUGGCUGGUAGGUGAUAUUUCUUCUAUUCCUUAAGCCUAUUUAGUGAAGCUUUACAUAUUGGAAGACUGUUUUCAUCACCAAAAGAAAACUCGGGGGCCGUGUACCUGUGACUAUCCUCUGACCACAUCCCUGGCACCAUCUGUUGUGUGUUUAGACCUCUGCUAGCCAGGCAAACCAUUGAAGAUGUCUGUGACCCAGCUGUGGAGGAGAAAGCAGCCAUUUUUGCCACUCACCCUUCCCUGCCUUCCUCCACCAAAGUUCCAGUCAGCACCACCACCUGAUCCCUGUGGUCCCAAAUGCCACACUUCUGAGAUUAACCUUACUGACUACAGCUAGAACAAGAGUUGUCUAUUGGAGGCAAUAAUUCAACAAUCCAAAUUCUUCAUGCUCCUCUCUAUAUUUGUCAUUUAGGAAGUGACUGGUUUACAGUUAGGAGCUUUAAGGACACGAUUCUUUGUUAUUUAGUUCUGCACAAAGUAAUAUGCUAAGUCUUCCACCAACACAAAAUGACAACCAACAUGAAGAGAUAAACCAAUGGCACCAACAAUAGAAACUCACCUACAUCAUGGAGUGAACAAGGUGAGAGGCCUUCAGUGCAGAUGAGCAAUCCUUUAAUUUAAAUCAUCUUUUUUCAGUAGCUGGAAGCUGACUGCAAUUGAAUAAUAGAACUAACACAGAGUUUCAGAAUCAUGGUGUGCCACUGCUGCUGGAUCCCUUUAAGCAAAAAAUCAUGGUGAAGAACACCAGGGAACUUCCAAUCUCCAGAUGUCUAUUUAUCCACAAAAGGAUAUAGGAUCUGGCUCAGAAUAAUAAGUCCGAAGCC
Heterocephalus glaber (naked mole-rat) is the source of this 1072-nucleotide long non-coding RNA. The record is from Ensembl. NCBI's taxonomy places the organism in Eukaryota, Metazoa, Chordata, Mammalia, Rodentia, Bathyergidae.